GACGAACGCUGGCGGCGUGCCUAAUACAUGCAAGUAGAACGCACAGUUUAUACCGUAGCUUGCUACACCAUAGACUGUGAGUUGCGAACGGGUGAGUAACGCGUAGGUAACCUGCCUGGUAGCGGGGGAUAACUAUUGGAAACGAUAGCUAAUACCGCAUAAUAUUAAUUAUUGCAUGAUAAUUAAUUGAAAGGUGCAAUUGCACCACUACCAGAUGGACCCGCGUUGUAUUAGCUAGUAGGUGAGGUAACGGCUCACCUAGGCGACGAUACAUAGCCGACCUGAGGGGGUGAUCGGCCACACUGGGACUGAGACACGGCCCAGACUCCUACGGGAGGCAGCAGUAGGGAAUCUUCGGCAAUGGACGAAAGUCUGACCGAGCAACGCCGCGGGAGUGAAGAAGGUUUUCGGAUCGUAAAGCUCUGUUGUAAGAGAAGAACGGGUGUGAGAGUGGAAAGUUCACACUGUGACGGUAUCUUACCAGAAAGGGACGGCUAACUACGUG
RNAcentral lists this ribosomal RNA (505 nucleotides) under uncultured bacterium. RNAcentral's name for it is "partial 16S ribosomal RNA". It matches the Rfam family "Bacterial small subunit ribosomal RNA", at positions 28 to 507 of the family's 1533-position model. The record is from RNAcentral.